RNAcentral lists this ribosomal RNA (207 nucleotides) under uncultured bacterium. RNAcentral's name for it is "partial 16S ribosomal RNA". It matches the Rfam family "Bacterial small subunit ribosomal RNA", at positions 568 to 774 of the family's 1533-position model. The record is from RNAcentral.
CGCGUAGGUGGUUUGGUAAGUCAGAAGUGAAAGCCCUCGGCUUAACCGGGGAACUGCUUUUGAAACUGCCAUGCUAGAGUACGGGAGAGGGAGGUAGAAUUCCUGGUGUAGCGGUGAAAUGCGUAGAUAUCAGGAAGAAUACCGGCGGCGAAGGCGGCCUCCUGGCCCGAUACUGACACUGAGGCGCGAAAGCGUGGGGAGCGAACA